RNAcentral lists this long non-coding RNA (44127 nucleotides) under Elaeis guineensis (African oil palm). RNAcentral describes it as "long non-coding RNA (EGUI_LNC019328)". Lineage: Eukaryota; Viridiplantae; Streptophyta; Magnoliopsida; Arecales; Arecaceae. The record is from RNAcentral.
UUCCCUCCUCCUUUGGGGAUUCUUUCAGUGUAAUUGAAGCAUAGCGGUAGUGGUAGUCAGAAGCUUGCAUAGCGAGGGUGGAAAAUGCGGCCAGGAGCGAGACACUAAAAAUGGCACGGUGAGGGUGGAAGGAAUCUGCGUGACAGCCGUGCUUGCGAACCACUGUCAGAUGAACUGGCAACAAAUGACCUGUCCAAAUCUCGUGGCCCCGAGCACUGCCAGCAGCAACUGGAGAGCAGGUUGGUAGCUACGAGCGAGGGGGGUCGUUGUGUCAUCGUUUCCUGGAGCGGAGGACUCACACCUGGUCGGGUAUUAACUUUGUUUAAAUUUUUAAUCCAGAAUAUAGUAUUUAAGAUGUUUCCUGUAAGAGUUUUGCCAAUGGAUUGAGGUUACGUCCCAUGUGUCCUUCCGAUCAACUUCAGCAGACUGAUCAGAGGACCGCUGGGCAUGCAGUACCUUCUUUUUUUCUUUCUUUCUUUGUUUUUUUUAAAAUGAUAAGAUGGAGUACUCACACGAAUAUGAAUACAACCAACCAACGAGAGAAGGAAAAGAAGGGAAAAUCGUGAAAGAGUGUACCUCUGGAUAAAGCUAUCGCACCACCAAGCUGCUGGCGGCAAGCCCCAGCAAGGCUCCUCGAGCUCUUCAAGCUGCGUGCGGUUGAUAGGUCGGCCGAUGAUCCCAAACUCGACUGCUGCUCCUCGUGCCUUCCCACGGAGGCGGAUGACACUACAAGUCAUAGAUCGCCUCAAGGAUCACGACGCACCAGAACCCACUCUCUUACACCCCCGCACCUUGCAGAUAGUCCUACCCGAGCUGACGUCACUGGAAAACCGUAACUCCCUUCCCAAUUAAUCCACCAAUUUGGAUUUGGGUUUGGGAUGUCCAACAGUUUUGUGAUGCAUAAGUUGGAAGAAUUCUCAGUGAGAUUGCUUAGGAGAGGAGGCAGGAGUGGUAGGGCUGGGAGAGGUAGGAGGUAAGGAAUGAAGGUGGAUUCCAUCGGAUUUGACGGUGGGCGUGAUACUAAAAGUUGGUUAUAGCUUCAUCGAAGGCGCAUAUGAGAGGUGGUUAAGGAAGGAAGCGCAGGGGUAACGGGGAUCCAGGAGGAGCGAAACCAUGUCGGCUGUGAGCUUUGAGGGAGAGAUCUAAGCAUCUCGGAAGAAGCAGCGGCAGCUGGAUUGAACAAUGGGAUUACCUUCCAUUCAUGGCUCGAAGAAAGGCAAAGCAUUCAAAUGGCUACAAGGCUGGGAUACUGAAGGGUAUCAAGAACAGUUUCGCAAUGUUUUGAUCACAGAGAGAGGAGAAUUACUGGUCAUAAACUCCUGAAAAGGUUCAUCCCUACGCUCUGGAAUUCAGCGGGAUUCAGCUUCAACCCAUGGAAAUCUCCAAAUCAAUAUCCGAAUCAACAUCAGUUUCUUCUUUCACUGACCUUCAAGAAUCUUCCUUUUCUUUCUUUCAUUCAUUUUCCCUUCCAUUUCUCCAUGAUAUGAAUUUUAACUAUCGUGAGGUGGACUUUUUUAUUUGUAACAAUACGCUUAGUAAGCAAUAUCAGCUUCUUUCACAGGUUCCUGUCUGCUGUCUUAUUUUCAUACUUUCUUUCUUCCGGGAGGUGGUAGCAUUAAUAAGCCAUUAAAUUAUAUGAAGUUGACGAUUUACCAAGUUGAAUAAAAAAUUAAAUGUUAUCAUCAUAUUAGAAUAGAACUAGAAACACAGGUCACGAAAGAAACCACACUGAUAAAAGCACAAAAAAUAAACUAUUUUGCUAUUUGAUAGUUCAGACGGGAGAAAAAAACAACAUACAUGAGUUGCAUGGGAGUAGCAGCAGCUUCUCUAUGAAUGCUGAUUGUUCUCAAAACCAAAUAUCCGGAACACACCUGCAAGGUGCAUUCUUUUAGCUAAGUACCAUUGAAAGCAAAGUAUGAUACCAACAUAGAAGCAAUUCUCAUGACUACAAAAUAUCUUAGCAUAUUAAAUCUGGCAUAAAACCCUUUGGUUAUAUUUUCUAAACACCAAAUAGACAAUGCUUUAACCUAUCUAUACGGGGUUUUCCUUACACUUUAUAGAUCAGCAUACAAUCCAUCAAAAGAGCUUAAAUAGGCCUUAUAGUCAGCUUUUAACCUCAAAUAGACCUUUUUCUCUCUUUAUUUAAAAAAAAAAAAAUGGACCUUGUGAAAGUACCAAACUUCUGUCCAACGUUAACUAUGGCCAAGUGGUCCGGUUGCAAUACUGUAAAACCAAUUGGAAAGAAGGAAGCCUUUUGAUUGGUCAUACAAGUCAGAUGCAGCCAAGUAGCAACUAUAGCGAACAAUAAAUGAUGGGCCAGUGGUCAUAUCUCCUUCAUUUGAAGGAGAUUCCAGGUGUUCAAGUCUCGGAAGAUGCAACCUAUUAUUUGGACCUGGUUAAUUUACUUGGGAUGGGCCUUCCUUCCCUGUCCCCCAUAGAAAACCCAAGAAGCAACAAUAAGGUUCACCUAGAUUUUGCAAGAUGUAAGAAAUUUUACGUGCAAUUAAAAAAAAAAGGUUUAAUAUAGGCAACUAUAUAGAACUAGGCUAGAAAAUAAAUUAAAUAUCAAUGAGCCAAAAUAAUCCACAACACUUACUUGCAAUCUGAAAGGUUUUAAGAGAGAAACGGGUAGUGAUAACGUAAAUGGAAAAGAAAGAGGAAACAUUAAACCAUACCUUCAUCAGCUUGGUAUUUGUUCUUAUCAUCUCCUGCAUAAGCCAGUAAGUUGUAUUUAGGGUUCCACUCCACACUGUUCAUUGCUGCCUUACAGGGGAUCUGAUGCACUGAUCUCCCAGUCUGAACAUUGGACUGGAGAUGGAAAAAGACUAUCAAUCAAAAUUAUUGCUAAAAAAAAUCCAAAAACAAAAGGCAAAAGUCAAACAUGCACAAGGACCACAUACAAUAUCAAUAAAAGGAUCUUCACUGGCUGAAGCAAUAUAUUCUCCAGUGUGAUUAAAGCUGAUGGUUCUGACAGGCCAUCUGAAAUGUAGACGUUACCGAAAAGUAGUUAUUCAUCAAAUUAUAUUUCUCAUUUGAAGCUUCUGCGUUGCCUUUGUGAAGAUAAUCAUUCUAGUUUAUGAAAUAUUUUUGCCUCCAGAUAGUUCUAACAACAAUGCCUAAAUUAAUAUUUAAUUCAAGCAGCUUUGCUUUGAUAAAUAAUUCAUGGAAUGUCCAUAAAAGAGAGAGAGAAGUCAGAGAAGCUUACUCAAGCUUUGUGAAUGUUCGGACGCACAACAUCUCUGAUAUAUCCCAUAGGCUGACCAAUGAAUCAGCACUUCCAACAGCGAAGUAUCUACAAUCAUAGAAAUAGUUGACAAAGGUCAUAUUCGUGCCGUGAUGGAUGCAUUCCAAAGUUUGAUAGAUGCCGGCCAUAUGAAGACAUAUCUAGCAAAAAGCCUCAUAUGUGACAAUGCAUGCACAUGCAUGGUCUCCUAGAGAGUUGCAUGUUCUAAUUGUACUGAGGAACCUCAUCUGGAUUUGCUACAGUAUUCAACAGACAACCUUUUAGUCUUCGAUAGUUCAAGAGUUUGUGUAACGAAAACAAAGCUGCAGGAGUCCUGACUACCACAUCCAAUGGUAUUGAAAGAACAGAUUUCUCUAAAAGAAAAGGAUGCUCGGCAACUUUUAGCUGAGAUUGACAAUACCACUAAAAGAAUACCUAAAGCAAUGAAACUUCUAAAACUUAGACUAGACACAGUAACACAAUGACCAGAAUUACAUUCCAACUUUACCAAGACAUCUUAGAAAUGUAUAACAUUGAGAAGCAACAGAUUUAUCUUUUUCUGCAUAAUUUCAACUAGUUUAACAUUAUAGUGAGGUUUCCCUUAACUAAAAGUGUUUCUUCAUUUUUUUUUUUUCCAGAUACUAAAAGCCAUGACACAGAAAGCCUACAAUCUAUAGUCAACCCACUUAGUUUGGCUAAAUUUUAGGCUAGAAAGAACUGUGGGCAGAAUAAAGAAUAUGCCAAAGCAAACUUAGCCUGAAGGUGAAGUUGCCAUUUUGUAUGUCAAGAAAAAAAAAUACAAAUCCGUGGUGAAUCAUAAUCCUAAUUUAAAUGAUUACUUUUCAGCCAGACAUUCAAAUUUCUGCAGUGGUUGGCAAAAGUUCAAGCUUAAUGACAUGAUGAUCAUCAAAAUCCCAGCACUAUUUCUAAUCCAGACUUUGUUUUCAACUCCUUGUAUACCGUUUUCCACCCCAACUCCCAAGGAUUGCUAUUGGUACAAAUCAAAACUUCAUUAUGGAUAAACUGAAAAUACAAAGCUAAUUUAGGACCAGGUGUAGAUAAUGAGCAUAAACAUUUAGUGGCAAAGAAUCUAUUUCAAAUUCUCAAGUUAGCAAGCAGAACAGGAAGUACAACCAACGUUUUAGAAAAAGAUAAGCAUUAAUCACUUCGCCCAGUUUCAGAAGAACAAAAGGGCUAUUAUUUCCUCAUCAGCAUUCCAAUAAAUACAGCUCUACUUUGAGUUUGAGACAGCUGAUUUAGUGCUGAACAAGGCAACCUCUAAUGAUAUUUCAAUCAUCUUCCUGAAAAAGGAGGACGUAGUAGUUUUAAUACUACCGAUCUGAAAAACUGUGGGUAUUUUCUGCCCAGCCCAAAUGAAAAAUAAGAUUGAAAUGACCAAAGAAUAGAUUCAGUGCAAUGGAGAAAGUGUCUAACAUUAUACUUUGUAAUGAUUCUAUUUUCUUUCAGCCAUUAAAUAAAACCCAUUGUCAUAUAAGAAUGAGAAGUAGAUAAAAAUAAAUAAAUAAAUAAAUAAGAAUAUCCUAAUCACCUUCCUAUGGGAUCAAUUGCAAUGCAAUAGCAACCUGCUGUAUGAGCCACCAAAGUGUGAAGCACCUUAAGAGAGGGAUAAGCAAGUACCUCAACAGUACCUGCUAAAAAAAUAGAUAUCUAUUAGGAGAGAUUAUUAUAUAUUUCAUGUGAUGGAACUUAACAAUAAGCUUGAACAUGCGCGAAACUGUGGAACUUCACAUAUAUUCUUGAACAAAAAGGUUGAAUUAAGAUGACUCUCACCAUUCCCAGUGGUAAGAAAAAACAGUUCUCCAGUUGUAUUCCAUGCAAUCUCAUUUACCUAUAAGCAGGCCAUACCAUGUCAACGCCACAUUCACUAUAUAAAGCUUUUAAGAGAAGUUCUGAAGACAUGCGUCCAAGUUGACAUGCUCUUUCUAAACAACAAAUAUAUAACAGUAAGCCUUUAAGAAAGAAUAGCCUAUGGCAACAACACUUUUAUUUUCUGACACAGAUAAGGGUAGAAAAUAACAGCUUGAUUGCUGGUUAUUCAAAACAUAAUAAAAAUGCCAGUCUAAUGUAGCUUUUGAGAAAGAUGCUUUCCAAGGAUAGAAAACCAAAGAUCAUGGAGCUUAGAUACAAAUAUAUGUAUAAGAAGUUAACCUAUAUCAUGUCAUCACAGGUAGAGGUGAAAAGUAAUUGGAUCUAAUUGUCAACAAUGUGUAAAAAGCAGAGUCAGCUAAUAUAUAAAAAUCAGAAAGGAACAAAGAGGGAUCAAGUAACAGAAGAAAAAAGGUAAUGCUAAAAGAUCCCAGACACAGUUGAAGCAAGCAAAUAUCAACUGGUAACUACCUCAUAGUUAAAUUUGCGCCUAUGUAUUGGUUUAAACUUCCGAACAUCCAGUAUUGUAAGCUCAUCCUCCUGAAACAAAUAAGGGCAUUGUUAGAAAUCACACCCAUAAAAUUAUUAUAUAAUUAAUCAAAUAAGACAAUGGAUGAACACUCAAAUGGAGGUAGUAUCAUAGUUUACAAUAACAGCCACCGGGAUUUUAUUAAUUAAUCUUCUGAGUCGAAUGAUAUAUGAAAUGCUGGUUCACAUAAGUUUGACAUUUAACUUCGCAUAGUCUGACAUAUAGGCCUAGACAAGUCAAUCCUUAGCACCUCAGAUUGCUUUUAAAAUGAAUUAAUGAGUUAGCAACAGAAAAUGCAGAUACACAAUAUCCCAAUUCAUGGAACAGAAACUACUGCAAGAACAAUCAAUGAGAACUUUUAACCUAUAAUAAGUACGUUAUAAGGGAGCAUAAAUCACAAACAUGUGUGGACACAUGGCUUGGCUGCUUCUGUUAGAACUGACAGGACGUCAAAAACAAAGCAUGGUAAGGACAACAAAUAAGCAUAAUCAUGUUGCUACAUGGUGUACAAGCUUGAUACUUCAAAUAAUUGUUUGAUAGAUUAUAGACACACUUAUUAACAGAAAGAUGCUGACAGAUGCUCAGAUGCACCUUAAAAUAUAGAAGAAAAACCGGAAAUGAGUAACAUCAUUAAAAAAAAAUUAAGGAAAAAUUACAAAGACAACCCUUAAAGUUUGACCGUUUUACACUUAGACCCCAAAAGAAAAAAGUUUUAACCACUUACCAAAAUUUUGAAAAUGUUGCAAAAGGAUCCAGCCAUUUGUCUCCAUUAGGCAAGGUUAUAACGUGAGAGUAACUGAGAGGGUAAAUUUUAUGAAAUACCAUAAAUGCCCUUCCCUUCUAGUUACUCCAGAGAAUGAAAAAAAUAGAGAAAAAAUCUGAAAAAAAUAUAAAAGAAGGGUGGAAAAAGAAAAAUUUUUUUCUUUUCUCGCGUAGAUUGAUCAAAUCUUUUUCUUUUUUCCUUUUUCUUUUCUCUUUUCUUUCUCUUUGUUGGAGAUUUGUGGGAAGGAAAGCACGGAGGCAGAUUGGAGGGGGAACGCCGACGUUGGUGAGGGCAUCUAUGAGGGGGAAGGUGAACGCAGAGACCAGCGGGAGGCGGAUGUCUGCGAUGAGGAAGGCGACAACAAAGACCGACAGGAGGUGAGCGUCCAAGAGGGGGAAGGCAAUGGCGGAGACCGGCAGGAGACGGGUAUCCGCGAGGGGAAAGUGACGGCGAAGACCGACAGGAGGUGGGCAUCCGCAAGGGGGAAGGCUGACUUCAGUGAGGACGUCUGUGAGGGGGAAGGUGACGGUGGAGACCGACAGGAGGUGGGUGUCCUCCGUUAGGGGGAGGUGGAGAUAGGCAGGAGGUGGGCGUUCGUGAGGGAGAAGGCAACAGCGGAGACAGGCGGGAGGUGGGCGUCCGCAAGGGGGAAGGCCGACACUGGUGAGGGCGUCCGUGAGGGGAAAGGCGAUGGCGAAGACCGGCAGGAAGUGGGCGUCCGUGAGGGCGGUGACAAUGGGAAGGAAGGUGACGACGGUGAUGAUGGGAAGAAAAGCACCUGAGGAAGAUCGGAGGGGAAGGUCGACGUCAGUGACGAUGGGAAGAAAGGCGACGAUGGAGACCGAGGGAGGUGGCGGCGGGAGCGUAGGGAGGAGGUCAGAGUGAACCAGGGCAAAUCGCAGAGUACACGCACGAUGGACAGCGCACAAUCAGGAAUUGGUGAAAUAUAAGGGGUAAUGUGGCAUGCUAUCCACCGUGGCAUUUUGCACGAUCCAAUUGCACCCGAUCCACAGGGAAAAAAUGAAAAAAAAAUUAAGUGUGAACUAAGGGUAUUUUAGUCAUUUCAUCUUUUCUGUUAAUGCCAUUAGGCCAAAGACAGACAGCCGGAGUUCUUUGCAAUAUUUUCAAAGUUUUGGUGGGUGGUUGAAAUUUUUUCUUUUGGAUCUAAGUGUAAAACAGUCAAACUUUAAGGGGUGUUUCUGUAAUUUUUCCAAAAAAUAAUGCACACACAUGCCUGCAGACAAAAGAAUGGAGUUGGUACCAAACAGAAUUAGGCUUCAGCUAAAACUAUAGCAUUGUCUACUUGAGACAAUGUCAAAGAAAAUUCUCCAAGCGAAAAUUUUAAUAGCAAAAGUAGAUGGCUAGGAGGACAAGGCAAUGGCUGUAAUUAUCUAAGGUUGCAUUUGGUGCAUCACCAGGCAAUCUUGAAAGAUAAUGUGGAUUGCCUUCAGGAUAGAUUGCCACCAUUAAAUUGUCAGUAAUGUUGAUUAUUAUAUUUGGUACACACAGAUAAUGUUAUAAUAAAAUUAUUAAAAAUCUUGAUUGACAUGUUUGAUAUAAUAAUUAGAUUAUCGGUAAUGUGAAAUCAAAUUUUCAAAAUACCCUCGAUAAUUUUGCCCUGGUGCUCUUUUUUUUCCCUGAUAAGAAGUAACAGAAAUGAUAUGGAUGUGAUGGUGGCACAGAAAAGUGGCAGGCCGAGGGAUGUGAGGAACCGUGGGUACUGGGGGGGUGGGGAGGGGCAGGCUCGUGUGGAGCCGUGGGAGUGGUGGGGACAAGCGUGGAGGAGCCACGGAGGAUGGUGGGGGAAAAGGGCAGAGGAACCGCAGGCAAGCNNNNNNNNNNNNNNNNNNNNCAGAGGAACCGCAGGCAAGCAAAAGGAGAUGGAGGAGCUGCGGGCCGGGGGCACACGCGAAGGGGGGUCGGGGUAGGGGGAGGGUUAGGCAAUGAGUUUUGUAUGAUUUUUUUGAGGAAUAAUUUUGUCCAAAAUUUUUAUUGCAACAUUGCCAAAGAAGUGAUAAUUUGGAUAGCCACCCCUCCCCAAAGUAAUCCAGAUUGCUUUAUGGGAGGCAAUCUGAAUUGCCAAGACAAUCUGAAGUACCACCCAAAAAGCAUACCAAAUGCAAUAAUCCAGAUUACCACAUUAAAUUGCAAGCAAUCUAGAUAAAUUGCCAGCUAUCAAAUGCAACCUAAAAGAAAUGUGUUUUAAUCAUAUUCAAUCAGAAUGGAAAUUAGAAAGAUGUUUAGAUAUCACUGCAAAUUCAGAUCAUUCCCAAAAUGUUCAUAAAGCCAACCUCAUAAAGAUUUGGAUAUGGCUCAUUCAAUGUGAUCAAGGAUACAUUUUAAAGUCCUUCAAAAUGCAGCAUAAGAUAUUUCAGACAAAUAUGUUUUCAUUCAAAUUGCAAUACUCUAUCCCUAUUUCACCGACGUUUGUUCAUCCUCUUAAACAUAAUUGAUAUCACUCUUCCAUAUGUUUUCACCAAUCAACUCUAGAAUCUUCCAUUAAACUAAUCAAACUCGAGAAAUCAUGUAUGAGUGCACAUAAAUGAGUUCUUUUUCACAUACCUUAUUUCCAACAGCUAUAUGAGUUCCAUCAGGUUUGUAGGUGAUAUUGAUAUUCUCUCCACUAAGUUCAGCAUGCUGAGAGCAUUUUCCACCUGGAAAACCAGAUGUCAGGGUAUUUCAAAUCUAUAGAGUAAAUUAAGAAGUCAAGGCCAUCUUUUUUUUUUCCAGUUCUGAACAGGUAGAGAAAAAGGGGAAUAGUGGACAAACUAAAGUUAUCUAGCAAGAUGAAACAACAGAGUUCCCUGAACAACAAAGAAAUAGUCCCCUCUCCCAGCAAUGUGGUAGGAAUCACUUUAGUUACUAGUUAUCUAACACAUUACAUUCAGACAUGGCUUACAAGCCUAUGCAAACAUUUCAAUAGCCAGUACCUAUCAUCAAACAAAAUUUAUCAACAUCAUGCCCCAACUCCUUGAAUGUAAAAUAUAUAUCUGUUGACCAACUAUGGUAAAGUCAACAAAAGAAAACAACUUAAACAGAAAUAUUAACAAUACAAGAACUUUUGCAUGAACACAUUUGAAAAUACACUGCAUUAGUCUCUAUAAUACCCAGAAGUUAUAAAGAAAAGGUAAAGAAAGUAGGUUGCAUACCUAUGAAACAGACCAUGAUGCUGAAAGCACAAAACAAGAAUACAAGAAUUUAACCAUUGUCUUUUGGCGUGACACUAAAAAAGCAGUCCAACUACUGCCAAACCUAUCAAAAUUAGGGUAAAUUUACUCACUUCGAGCAUCCCAAAGACGUACAGUCUUGUCCCCAGCUGCAGUUGCAACUAAAUCAGGAUGCUUUGGGUCCCAGCACAGCUGAUCUACGCUGUCCGUAUGCCCCUUUAAUUCAAUAUCUUUGACCUUGCCCUGCAUUUUAAACAAACAGAACUCAUGAAUACCUCAGCACAAACCAUAUCCAAUUUGCUUUUUCUCAUCAUUUCCUCCUUAUAGCAACAAUGGAUUAAUGGAAUUUGAAUAAGAAACCUUGUUGAGAGUUACCCCUCCACAGCACACACAUCUUACAUAAUUAACCCAUGAAAUGCUGUAAUUUACAGGUGUUAUGUAUUGGUUAUAUAGAAAUAAUAGAAUAUUCAAAUGGUGUACUCCACUAUGAAACUGAAGAUGUAUUCAAGGUGACGUAAUGCCAUUUUUCCGAUAUCUUCCUUUAUAUUUGCUUAUUCAUUUUCCUCUGAUUUUUUUUCCUUAAGAGAGCAUUUACAUGUAGAAAGAAACAUCUGUGCAAUGCACCUAUAUAUCAGUAAGUACUCAAUCAGGUAGCAAUAUGCGUUUGAGGGGGAAAAAGAAACUAAAAUUGUAAAUUACAUUCCCUAGAAAGUCAGAAAGGAAUAUUUCUAUAUUUUCAUCAAACUGGGUUUUCAAAAGCAAUCCAAAAUCUUUUUAUUGGAUAGGUUUUUUUUCAAUCAAUUUUAAAAAGUAACUCCCCACCGGUCCGCCUAUUUCAGGCCUGUACCAGCACCAUAUACGUUUUCGGUGCAGGUACGUUUCCAAUGCGGCAAAAAACAUGGCUUUUAGAGCCAGUUGGUUAGCGGGUAGUGCAUGAUGCUACACUUCCUUUACUUCAAGAUCUUGCUUUGAAACUUCUUAACCAACCUUGUUCUUCAUCAUGCUGUGAACAAAAUUGAAGCACUUAUUCAUUUAUUCACUCAACGAGGAGGAAUAAGAUCAAUCCAAAAAGAGCUCAAGAUUUAGUAUAUGUACAUACAAAUCUUCAUCUUCUGUCUAGAAAGAAUGAAGAUUAUCAAAAGGGGGAGACAAAGAUGUGGGACAUUAGUGGAGAUCAAUUUGAUUCAUUUGAUGGUGCUGGAGUUCUUGAGAUUGCAAGUUUGUCUCUUGAUGAACUAGAUGUAGAGAAGAAGCUUUUUGUUGAUGAUGCAAAGAAUGAAGCAGCUGAAACUAUUAUCACUUGAUUAUCAAGACUUGCUAUUUUGAUUUUCUCUACUUAUUUAAACUACUAGCUUAUUUUUUUCUUUAACUACAAGUAUUUGUUUGUUUUUUAUGAUGAUACUUAUAAAUUUAGGUGAGAUUUGAUAACUUAAUUUAUUAAUAUUCGAAUAUUAUAUAUAUGAUUCAGUUUUUCAUAUAUUUUUAUUAAUAUUAAAAUAUUAUAUAUAUUCAAAUAUUAAUAAAAAUAUAAAACACCUAACCAUACCCGUAUCGUGGUUUUUUCAAUUUUUACCGUAUCGACAUAUCCAUACCACAAAGUAUCCGUACCGCAUACCCAUAUCCAUGCUUCCUAGCUCUCCACAAAUUAGUUUUUUUUUUCAAUCAAUUUGGAAAAGUAAUUCUGCACAAAUACUAUUUGCUUUGGAAGAAAUGUUUUCCUUUAUUUAAUAUUGAAAUCUUUUUGUAUUGUUAUUAGCUUUUGAUUUCAAAGGGAUGGGUGUCAACUGGUUAGGUUUGUGUUGUGUUUCACUAUAUCGAUACCCAAAUCCCAAAUAUAUGUGUUGUAGACCCAAAUCCAAAUCCAAACCUGAUUAAAAUUGUAUAUCCAUACCCAAUUUUGGAACCCUCCUUCACGGAGAGAAAGAGAGGGUAUUCCAUCAGGUAUUGGGUAGCAAUCCAAUAUUUAAUAAGAUAUCCAUUAUAUACUUUUGGACUGUUUUAAAUGCACCCUAAAUGCCAUCUCAUGAACUAUGGAACAUGGAAAAGAAAUAUUGUGAAAGUCUGCACCUAGAAAAGAGGAUAUCUCUAUAUUAUUACUUUCAUUAUAUGGAAAACCAAAAAAGACAAAAAAAACUCUACAAUACUCAAGUGCAGUACAAAUAUUGAUUUACAACAAAUACAUAGUAAAGACUAAACUUUUAGCAACAACUACUAACCAUGAUAUCAUAUAACAUGUCCAUGAAUGUUUUCAACCUGUCUGAUCACAUGCCAUGAGUAGGAGUUUCAGGGAACAAGGUGACUUGCAGUUUGACUACUCUACUUUUUUUUAUGAUAAAGUAUGUUUUUGUGUGUGUGUGUGUGUGUGAAAUCAAAUUUGUUUUCUGGUAUGAAUGUACCUGAAUCCAAAUGCAAUCCAAUGCUAUUUAGGGUCUGAUUUUGGGACCCAAACCUAAACUAAUAGCUGUUGGGGUCUGAAAAAUAGACCUAAACCCUAUUUUGAAUCCUGGUCAAUAGUUAUGGGUUAUUGGCAUCUACUGACACUGCUAUCCGAAAGCAAUCCACAAUCACUCCCCUUUUUUCUUGUUUUUAACAACAGGAAUUAAAUGAUAGAGGAUAAGUCAUCCAUUUAUGGAAAAAUGAGAGUCUUUAGUAUAAAAAAUGACAGAUGGAAUCAAGGAGGAGUAUCCUCUUAUUUCAAGACUAUCAGUUUUUUUUUAAAUAUAGUAUAGAUAGUGGCAACAUUUAUCUAACAAAGAACUUUCUUCACAAGAUGCAUGUUCUUAGAAAGAAAUGAGAUAGAAACAAGAUCCAUUGAGAGAUUAUAAUGCAGUGAUCCAAUAAAUUUCCCAUGACAUCAAAAAGACAAAAGAAAAAAAAAGAAAAGACCUUUAAUUAGUUAAAAGUAAAAGGGGAAGUAUCCACUGCACAAAAUCAAUUUAUUUAAAACAGAUGUUUCUCCAUCUAACUAAUUGUAAAACAAAUAAGAAAGAACUGACUAUGGUAAUCAUGUCAUAUAUCUAGAGAUGAAAAUUAGAUAAUUCAAACUGAAAGGAUCCAUAUCUAACUACCUUAUUAGCAUUUGGCAUGUCAUUUAAAGCAUGUAUCUUGCAUCUCCUGAAAUACAUAUAUUUUGCCUGUAAUUGUAGGACUAUGGGGACCAGCUCAUAUUGGUUAUGGGGCUUGAUUGAUUGAGUGGUAGAGGAAUUGGAUAAUUCCUACUUAUCUGACUAUACUAGUUGAUAGGUCUUGAGAGGUUUAUUAAAGAAUAGAAUGGAACUAGACAAGGUAACUCUAGUUAGCCCUCUUUCAAGAACUGUAGUCAUUCAAAUCUUAUUAGGACAUGUGAAGGUUAAUGAGAUGGCUUGAAUGAAGAUUUAGAUAUUGCAUAUGAACAUCAAUGCUAAAUAGACAAUAUCUUACUGUUAUAUACAUAACAGUACGAUAUUGUCUAUUUAAUUUAUUUAUCUUACUUCAAUUGACUUUGAGAUUGCUGAAUGCAUUAAUUUCUUUAUUUUAAUUAAAUUAGUCAUGGAAAGUAUCUCAACUGGAAUCAAAAUGAAUCUUGAGGAAAAUCAAAAUGGUUGGGUUUAGGAAAGUUUGGGAGAAAUGGUUGGAAACCCAAUUAUUAAACUCCAAAGGAUGGAGAAAUAACUCUAUUCUUGUAAUGUGCUACUUUCUUAUCAGACAAUAUAUAUCAGGAAUGAUAUUGUUUAGGUUCAUUCACUAGAGUUUAGUGUCUUGUAUUUCCUUAAUGUGAAAAAAGUUACUGCUUCAACAACCUUGAAGCAGUAACAUUUUGAAUAUGCUAAUUCUGAACCUUAGGUUCAAUUUACUUCCUUUUUUUAUCGUCUUUCAUCCUCCUCGUUUACCAGAAAACAACCAAAUCUCACUAUCUCAAAAACUGCAAAAAAGUCAUUUACGUCAGGUAACAAGAUUCUCCAUCCAGCAUACGACCAUUUUCCCACUACCACUUGUUGAAGAAAUCCUGAAACAUCAUCAUAAUUUUGUAUUCCACAUUUCCUCAAAAUUGAAAAACGGAAAAGGGAAAAAUAGAACUUUCAGUUUAGGUCUUGUUUUCAUCGUACUGUCGAAAUAACCCAACAAGAAUCAAAAUUUCUCCUUCUAGAAUGCUGCAUUUUGUUGAAUAGCAAUUUGAAAUGACAUCUUGAAAUUAUAAUACGUUUCUUAGUUCUCACCAGUACCAAAUCCCAAAAUGAGCGUAAAGAUCAAAAUUUAAGCUGGUUUUAUUUUUUUCUUCCAUCAUAUACAUGGCCCAGCGAAAAAAGGGGAAAAAAGACGCGCAUGUAGGGAUCGAGAUUACAUGACCGUGGGGAUCGAUGUUCCAGACGCGAGCAGUGUGAUCAACAGAGCCAGACGCGAGCUUCGUACCCAAACAAUUCCACGCUACCGAGUGAACCUUACCAUUAGAAGAAAACAUCAUCGUGUUAGGGACGUACAAAAAAAAAAAAAUUCAAGAACCUAGGUUUUUUCAUGGAUCCUAGAGUAAACAAAUAGAAAAAGAAAAGAAAUCGUCAAUUCUAGGGUUUCUAAGAAAUCUAACCAAGAAAAUAUCGGGUUUUUUUUUCCCUCUCCAUAUACCUUCUUCUUGUGGCCCUGGUACUCUCUGGAGCUCAGGUUCUUGAAGCUCAGGGACUUGUCUUCCAUGGCCGCUCUCUCGUAGCUCGCUCGGCUCUCUCUCCUCGUACCGCGUUCUGAAAGAACAAAGAACAAAGUAAUAGAAAUUGGACAACCCGCUACAAACUACCGAGGUCUUUGUUCCCUUUGAUAGGGGCAUAUGGGGAAUUUCAUCUAUUUUUCGCCGCCGCUGCCCGCUGGUGACUCUUGGUGCGGUGCUCGGUGUGAGACGCGAGGCUGCCACCAAGUCUGGUCGGGUAAUUUACCUAAUUAAUUUUUUUAAAAAAAAUAUUUAUAAAAAUAAUAUAAUUUUUAAUUUAUUUAUCAAAUUAUUAUAAAAAAUAAAAUAUUAUUUUAAAUGAUNNNNNNNNNNNNNNNNNNNNUUUUAGUUUAUACAUGCCUGCAUUAAUUUUAGUUAGAUCCAUGGAUAUGUAUUUGAGCUAAUAAGUAGAUCAUUUUAAAUUCAACUAUUAUAUAUAACUUUUAUCAUUCGACAUCAUGAUGAAGCCUUUUCUUAUGAACUUGCAUGUCACCCAACAUGAUAUAAGAAAUAAAAACUAAGAAAUAUACUUUUUUAAAAAUGUUUAAAGCUUGAAACCUAUCUCAUAUUAAAAAUCACUAGAUCUAUUAUUGACAAAGUGAAUUGCCUUAAAAUCCUACGAUUGUGUACGCUGACAAGUUUCUACAGUGUCAUGGCAUUGAGCUUUUAGAUUGUGAAUUAAUGAGUUGCUUGACAUGAAAAAUGGAAACAGAAAUUGAUAAAUACACCUAGCUUUUUUAAAUAUGGUCAUACUUAUGCCUUUUGCUCAUUUAUGCUGUUCAUGGUUAGAUUAGAAUGUUAAUUUUUUAAUAUAUAUGACAAAGUGAAAAAUUUUAAAAUUCUAUGGUUAUGUCAAAUAACAAUCUCUAUUAAGUUGUGCUGGCUGUCAUGAUAAAUGUGAGCACGAGUAGCUUAACAUAACAAAAAAAAAAGAACCAACAUAGAAAAGUAAAAAACACCACUCCUAAAUAUUUAUAGUCAUGGACCCUCCAUCCCAUAUUAAUUGUAGCUAGAUUUUAAUAGUCUUUAGAGAGAGGGGGGAAGGAAUUGUUUCAAAAUUCUACUAUUAUGCAUAACAACAAUCCUCCAUGAAGUCAUGCCAGUGAUCAUGACGAAAGUCUUCAAAAUUAACAUGAUAAAAUAUAAAUUGACAAAUACCCUCUCCUUUUAAAUAAUUUUUUAUCUAUGACUUUCUUUCUCUUGUAUUAAAUAUAACUAGAGACACCAAUAUAUAUUUCAUGUUGGCAUAAUGAACUAAUUAAUUCAAAAUUCUACUGUCACAUAUGAUGAGGCUUUGAAGCUAUGAGGCCGUCAACAGCAAGUGAAAACUAGCAAAGACACUCCCUUUAAUGUGUCACCCUUGUAAUUCUAUACAAUACCUAGAGAAAUAGAUACUAGGAUAUCAUAUCUAUCAAAAUAGGCAUAGUAUUUAUUAAUUUCUAAAAAAUAUUUUGUUUUAAAAAGAAGCAAGAUUUAUUUCAAAAAAAAUAUUUUUACCUAAAUAUUUGUUUAAACUAGAUUUUAGCAUAUAUAUAUAGAGAGAAAAAGAGAAAGAGAGAGAGAGGGAGGGGCACACAUACAUUCUUUUAUAUUUGAAAUUUACAAUUCAUCCUUCUAGAUAUUAUACAUUGGAAAAAUGACAUAACAUGGUUUUGAUCAAUGGUAUGAGACUACUCUGAUUAAUAUCCAUGAUGCCAAAUCUUUGAAAAUUGGCAUUUAUCAUUGGAUCUCAUUUGUUCAAUGACUACUUUUGCUCAUGAGCUUAAAAAUUUUUCUUUUAUUAUUAUCUAUAUAUCAGUUAUUUUGAGGAAUCUAUGUAUCCAUGAUUGCUUGAUAUCAUAGAAAGAUCACCAAAGAUAUUAGGAUAUAAAAGGAGCAAUAUUAAUGGUGGAAAUGAUGGUUAUAUGGUUGAAAUUAGUCAAAAGGGUUCGAAAGGAGUGACCAUGCUUAGCUUGAGUCCAGAGGAAUUAUCAGCAAUAAUGAAUUUAUUGAAAGGAUAUUGAUACUUUACAAACGUGUUAAUUAAAAAAUCAAUAGAAUUACAAUGAUCAAUAUGCUUUGUUAUAAUUUUUGAUUGCAAAUAAGUUCAAUAAAGAAAGAGUUGAUGCUUAUUGUUUGAUUAUAAAGAUGGCAUUAGACUGAAAAGAAGAGCAAUGAGAAUCAAUAGUUGUCAACUCUAAAUAAGACAAUAUGAAAAUCUAUUAUUAAAGUUAAAAAAAAUUAAUUUUUGAGAGACACCACAACUAAAAUAUUUAAAUGGAGAGUAAGAGUGAAGGUAGUGGUGAUGGGGGUAGUCAUUUAUGUAAUUUAGGUAAAGUUAAAUUGUAUUUUUAUAACAUAUAUUCUUGCAAAUAUAAUAUUUUUUUAAGUGGUCAAAAAUAUUUUUAAAAAUAUUUUUUAUCGUGAGGAUAUUUUUAGUGAUGCAGAUAAAAAAUUUGUUAUUAUGAAAAUAAAUAAGAAACUUUCGCUCAUUUGUUUGCUUUAAAAAAUGAUCGAACCAGGUCCUCCAUGUUAUUUUUGGACCAGUUCAACUAAAACGCAACACGUCGCAGGGAGUAGAAAAUCGCCUAUGAAAAGCAUUCAUGAUUUUUGAAAUUUUCUUUCUUCUCUCGGGAUAAGUGAGGAGGAUGGGACAGCGAUUUCCGUUUGGGGCAGCCGGCGCCCGCGCUGUCAACGGAUGAGUCGACGGUAGAAGAUAAAGGAGAAAUCCUCAAAUGACUCCGGAGGUCCGAUCAUGUCGCCGGUGGCGGAAGGGGACUUGGAGGCGGUAGAGCGGGAGAUCAUGCGACGGGACUCGGCCUCCCCGACCGUCGAAAAUCGGAUGCUCUUCGAUGGCAGAGACCACUCAAAUACUUUCUUUGAUCCGCUGCUCUAUCAAAGGCCCUAUCAUCGUCGGCACUCUCCGCCAUUCAUCGUCGUCGUCAUCAUCCUCCUCCUCUGUGUUCCCCUCGGCGAACGCAAUCCAGAUCGGUGCCGCCCUUUCAAAAACGGCGUCACGUUGUGCAAGAGACAAAAAGAGGAGGAGGAGGAGGAUAAACCCCAUAUUAGUCCCUUUAGUUUAGUCUGGUUCCACAUUAGUCCUUCUACUUUUAAUUGCAGCAAUCAAAUCCCUCAGGUUCCCCUUUAAUCCCAAUUAAGUCCUUCCAUUAGUCCUCGUAUAAAGAGCUAACAGAAAAUAAAUAAAAAUAAUUAUUUACAGCUGACAUAGCAGUCUUUUGAAAUAAAAAAAAAUAUGUUAUGACACUCAAAAAAAUUUUUGUUGUCAUUUUUGUCCUAUUAACUAAAUAGAAUGAGUUGCAACAAUUUUGUCCCAUUUUCAAAGAAAGAAUAAGCGAAACCGAGGAUCAAAAAAUAGAAGGAAAUGGCGAAGGAAAAGAUAAAUCAUGAUGAGAAUUGUUAUUAUGGAAUGAGAGCUCAUAUUCACACAUCUUGGACCGGUACAAAUCUAAGAAGAAGAUUUCUUAGAUGUAACAGAUACGGGGUUUGUCUCUCUAUCUCACUCCCAUAUUUAUUCUAUUUGUUCUGUAUAUAUUUGAAUCAACUUUUAUCUAUUUAUUUUGUAUCAUGCUUAAAUCAACUUUUAUGAGCAUAUGUUUGAAUUCUUGUGCGAUCAUAUUUGUUCUGUAGAUGAGCAUAUUUAGGAUGAGGGAUGGGACUUUAACGCGACGUUAGUAAAAAAUUGAAUCUUUUAAAUGCAAGGCUCAUAUUUGAAUUUUUGCUUUAAAUUUUUUUCUUCUGAUCUAUAAAACAUCAAGGCAAAACAAAUUAAUUUAAGGUCUAUCCAUAAUAAUAUUGUAAGAUUUUUCGAUUAUGCUACAGAUGGUAUAUUCUUUAUAUGAUUAUUAUCAGCAACACAUAAGGACUAAUUCUAAUUAUUUGUCAGCAACACUUUUCUAACCAAUUCCACUAAAGGUGAAGAACUUGUACCAAAGAUAGACAUCAUUGUCUAAGAACUGAUUGCCAUUAAACCAUGGUUUGUAAGUAAAAAACAAAAUAUUCUAUCAUAAAGAAUAUAAAUAAAAAUAAUAAUAAAUAAUAGAGUGAAUUUUGAUGCAUGCACCUUGCAACAGGACCAUAAAAUUCAUAUUGUCAAAUAAUUUUUUUUACCUCUAUUUUUUUCGAAUAUUUGUUGCAAAAGUUGCUGGUUUCGUUACUAAUAGAGAUAUUUUUGGUUUGAUGAUUACAUUUUUUUUUUUUUAAUUUUUAUUGGUGGGGGGUGCAUGUAUUGAGAUAUAAGCAAUAUCUUAGCAUAUUCUGUUAGCCUCCAUCCAUGGGGACUAACAAAAAGACUUAAUUAAGACUAAAAGAAAAUUUAAGGAAUUUGGUUGCUACAAUUAAAACUAGAGGGAGUAAAGUGAAAUCUAGGGUAAACUAGAGGGAUUAAUAUGAGGUUUACCGCGCCCACAAUAAAAAAAUUAUCCCAAAUUCCGCGAUCGAUUGAAGAUUUCCACCGGCGAUUUCUUAUUCUCUGCGACGUGUUGAGCUGUUGUUGAGCUGGUCCAACAUGACGUGGUGGACCUGGUUCAACCAAUAAUUUUUCCGUUCUUACAACCACAGUCAAGUGAAGUGUCGGUCUUCCACCCUUCCCCACUCCCCAUUCUCACCUCCCUUUAUAUACACCUCCAUAUCCCUUCUUCCUUCCUCCUCCGCCUCCCUCUUUCACCAGCCCCUCUUCCUUUCUACCAGCCAGCGGGCGGGAGUUCUCGGGUCCCCGAGAUCUCGCCGGAAUUCUCCCCGUGAUCGCCAUAAUCUGCUAGCAUCUGGCGUUGAUCUCGCCGGAACCAUGGCUUCCGGCAGAUACAUGCCCUACUCCCCCUCCCCCUCCACCGCUCCUCAGUCCCCUCACAUCUCCGGCAUACGCUCCGCCACAAGCGCGUUCGUCGAGCAGGAGAAGUAGGCCUCUUCCUUCCGCCUAAAACCCCGAGUUUUGGUUUGGAACGAAUAACCUCUAAUCUUGUGCUUUCCUCUCAUCUUUCUUGUUUUUCCAAUUAUUUUGCGAAUAGAUCCAUGGAGUUGCGGAUCUUUCUCGUUUCUUUAGUAGCAGUUGCUUGCUAUUAAAAAUUUGAUCUUGUUGCGAUCUACGCAUGUUAAUCGUGUUUUGAAAUUUGACCGUCGGUGUUCUGGCUUUAUUGCAUUUGUUGAUGCAAAGUGAUCGCAGAUCACGGGCAAAAAUAUUUGCAGCUCUUUCGUGCUCAUUAGUCUUGCAUCGCUGUUGUUUUCAGUUGCGUUUAACUGCGUUUUUCUGUAUCUAAUGGAAAAUAGAUGGUUUUGGUGAACUCCGUAAAUUGGAAACACUUGGUUUGGGAGAUGAAUUUCCUGUUUUAAGUCUUUGAGAUGGUUGAUUAGCAAGAUAUGAUUUUUAUGGUUUCCUAUGUGAGAUUCCCUGGUUUGAUGCUUUUCUUUUGCGAGAUCUGUUACUUCUUAUUGAAAUGAAUGCUGGCAUAGAUGGCUUCUUUGUAUUGAUAUUUUCUUUCUCUUUUUAAUAUAUUUUCAAGGAUCUACCUCUGACCUUGUGAGCAAUGUUUGAGUUAUGUGCUCUAUCAAUCAGGAUCCUUAGUCUGGGAGCUGAAUUCCUUGUGUGUCAGGACUUUGGAACGGUUUAUUAGCAGGAUUUAAUUUUUAUUUUUUUCUUGUCUGAGAUUCGCUAGUUUUAUGCUUUUCUUUUAUAAGAUUGACACUUCUGAUUGAAAUGAACUUUGGUUGGAUGGCUUCUUUUUCUAAUGUGCUUGUGAAGGAUCUAAAUUUUGGGGCAUUUGUGAGCAUUUUGAGUUUUGAAUUCCUUUGCAUACAUUUAUUAAAUAAUUUUAUAUUUGCAAUCCCAUCUGCUUCUAUUGAUUAUGGUGAGAUCUGUGAGUUAUUGUUUCAAGCUGCUAAAGGGAAAUAUUUUUAAGUUCUAUUUUCAUAUACAAUGACAACUUCUUGUGUAGUUGUGUCAAGCAUCAUGAAGAAGGCUUUCAAUUAUGAUGCCACGAGUCACUUUACGUGGCAGAAGAAAAAUAGAAACUGAUAAAGAUGCCCCAUUUUUGUGCAUGCAUUUUUAUUAUUCUUAUAAUAACUAAAUAAAGAUAGAUCCAAGGAAUCAAAUAUCGGUGUGGGCUGGUCUAUACUAGCCAUACCAAUGUGUGUCGGUCCGUAUUGGUUGUACUGGAUCAUAUCGAUAUGAUACCUGUAUCCAUACAAGGGGCUUAAAAGUACCACAUUGACACGUGGUGUUUCACAUCCAAUUUGUCAUUGCAACACAUAGAGGUAUUGUACUAGUCUGUAUCAUACUAAUAAGGUACUGAUGUGGGUACCAAUACUAGUGCUUUAAUCCUUAGAUAUAUCUAAGGCCAGAGCAUCUAUUGAAGAGACAAUUUGAAUUUAAUUUAAUUUUUUUCUGGGUGCUUAUUAGUCUUGCAUGAGUGCUUUUUUCUUCAUUUACCGUCAAUUGUAUGUACAUAUUUUAGCUAUCUAAUAGAAUGAUAGAUGAUAAAAUGGAGUUAUAGACGUCAAUUGUAUGUGCAUAUUUUACUGUCAGUUGUUAUUAUUAAUAUUGAUAUCAUUGUCAAAAAUAUUACUAUCUUUAUUAUUGUUUUAUUGUGCUGAGUGUAUUUUAUUAGUUAAAACAUACUAACAAUAUAUUGCGUCUGCAUAUGCAGCCCACAUAUUGCACUAGUGCUAUGCGAUCCCUUGAUCAGUCACAUGUCACAGCCACUUUAAACUAUUGCAUGUAAUAUCUAGAGAGAUGUAAAACUAUAAAGCAUCUGCAAAAGAUUUCUUUUAUUAGCUUCAAAAAAUAUUUCCUCAAAGAAAGUAAACUUUUUUUUUUUUUUCAAAAUUUCAUUUUGUUCACAUUGUUGAGCAUAUAAAUUCUUUGUUUACUUCAAAUUUUGAAUAUUCUCUUUAUUUACUAUUUGAUGAAGCAAGGACAGCUUGGUGUUACUUAAAAGUUGAAAUCUGAAAUAUGAAAAAACUAUAAAAUACAAUAUUGUUGUGAGACAUUUUUCAUUUAAUAAUUACAUUUGCUCUAGGAUUGGACAACCUUUCUUUCAUCAUUAAAGAACUAUGAAUGAUCUUAAGGAACCUAUUGGUUAUUUGAUCAAUCAUAUGGAGAAAUGUUUUAUUGCAGAACUAUCAAUUCAUUCCCAUAUUUGUGAUGUAUUGUGUUACCUGGACACCUGCAUCUGACUUCAAAAAUCCAUAUCCAACAUGUAUUCAAGUUGGAUAUGUGUUUGACACUUGGAUACUUAUGAAUACUUAUGAAUAUCUAUGAUUGUCACCUUUAAAGAUUGGUAAAAAGUUAAACUCUUCCAACAAUGAGUUUGAUCCUCUCCGUAUUCAUUAUUUUUAGUGAUUGACCAAGAAUUUUAGUAUUGAAAUAACUUUGCAGAUGUUGUUUUGAAUGAGAAAUAUGUAUAUUGAAAGAACUUAACAAACAAUAUCUUAAUAUUUAUUUUUAAUAUUAAACAAACAAUAUAAAAUGUACUAGUAUUUAUGGUUAAGUUAAAAUUAAAAUUUAUCCUAUGUAUCCUUGUAUCUCCUUUUUCCUUGUUGUUGAGUCAGAUGCUUGGAUAUGCAUCCAAAUCCGAUUCUCAUAUCCAUGUCCAUGCAACAUUGGUCAUGUGAUGUUGUAGAAGGACUCUCGAUGGUACUGCUAGGUUAUAAAAGGAGUGACAAUGAUGUUUGGAAUCAAAGGGUUAUGGGGGCAAUUUUGGCAGAGGGUCCUAAAGUAGUAGUUAUUCUUAGUGUGAGUCCAGAAGAGUUGAUAGAAAGAUGCUUUUUAAAAGAAUGACAACACUUUAUGUAGGUGUUAAAUGAUGGUACUUAGGGUUCAAUUGAGGGAUGGAGAUCUAUGUGUGUUAAAAUUUCAUGUGGCAGAAUCUAAAUGGAAAGAACCAAUGUUCAUUAUUGAUUACUAAAAUGGGAGAGACAACAGUAAUGGGUAAAUCUUGGCUCUAAACAUGGCAGUUGAAGAAACCCUAUAAUAAUAAAGGAAAAAAAACAGAUUUUGGAGAGAUAUACAUCCUAAAUGGGGAGGAAGAGGGGAUGUAGUUGCUGAUGAUGACAUUGGACCAUGGGAGAUAUAAGGGGGUUCAAUGGUUAGAACAUGGUGAUCUCUGAAUCAGCUGUGACAAUAGAAGAAACAAACACCAUUGAGAUGGGUGAAGAUGAAUGCAUGGAUAAGAAUGAAAACAUAUGCAAUUCAUCUGUAUCUGUGAAACCAGCCAGUUAUUCUCAUUCUGAAUAGUUUUGGUGAAAUUCAAAUUUUCUUUAGACAAAUAUGUUCCUCUAAAUUUGAGGAAUCUUUUCGUUGCAUAAUCAAAGUUCAAUUCUUCUUUUUCCCUCAUAUGAGCAAAUUUAAUUUCAUGAUUAAUAAAUUUGUCCACUGUUUGCAUGAGAAAAUUCCGGUAUUCCAUUUCCCCUUUUCUUUAUGGCAUAAAAAAGUUAAUGGUGAAAUUCACUGUUUUCCUUCUCUUGUUCUAACCUUCCUGUGUAACUAGCUCCAUCCCCCUUUCCCUUUCCUUUCGUCUCUCCAUUUCAACAGCCUUUGGCCCCAUUUCAACAGCCUCUCCACACAAGGAGCUCUUAGGGCACUGGGAUUUUGCUGGAAUUCUCCCCAUAAGCACCACAAUCAGCCAGAAUUUGGAAUUGCUCUUGCUGGAAUCAUGUCUUCCAGAAGGCACAUCGCCAUUCCCUGUCCCCAGCCACUGUGCCCCAUUGCCCUCUUACCUCUGGCAUGCUCUGUGCCAACAUCAUGCUUAUUUGGCAGGAGAUUGGCUGUUCCAUUCUCCCAAAACCCCACGUUUUGCUAAAUAUAAAAAGCUUUGUUCUUCUAUUUUUCUCCUUUAAUUAGAAAUAGCAAUCUUCAUUGUAUCUUAAUUAGCAAUUUCUUGCUGUAAGGUCUUGUUAUUAAGUUUGAACCAUGUUCCUGUCUACAUAUCCUAGUACAGUUCAGAAGAUUUGGAUGUCAGGGAUCAGGGGUAUGUUUUUAUUUCAUUGUUAAUGCAAAGAGGUUGCAGAUUAUGGGAAAAAUUUGACAAUUUUUUCAUGCUUAGUAGGCUUACAUCAUGUUUUCCUUCAAGUUCCUUUAAUUGAGUAUCGCCUAUAUGUAGAAUUUUAGUUGUCCACUAGAUGGUUCUGGAGUUUUUUUUCCCCUCUAAUUAGAAUACUUGGUCUUUUGGAGGUGAAUUUGUGCUUCGAGGCUUUUGAAUAGUUUAUUAGAAACAUUUAAUUUGUAUGCUUUCUUGUUGAGAUUCUCUAAUUGAUGCUGUUCCUUUACAAUACUGAAUACUUUUGGUGGGAACUACUUUUGGCCUAGAUAGUUUUUUCUUUCUGGGAUCCAAGUCUUUUGAUAUUGUUAGCUUGUUUGCAUAAUUUAACUCUCUUGUAAAGCGUGCUUAAAUGGGGUAGGUAAAUUUCUUCACAGGUAUCUAGCAGAGUUGCUCGCAGAGCGUCAGAAGCUUAGCCCUUUUACGUCAGUACUGACCCACUGCUAUCGAUUGCUGAACCAGGGUGUGUUUUCAAACAAUAUAUUUUUUUCAACAUUUUGGCAAGAUCUAUUAAAAUGAAUUGUUUUGGUAUUCGCAACUCAUGACUCUUGCGUUUUCUUUUUCUGAUGCCAUGUCCUCCCACAGCUUCCCUAGUCCGACUUAAUAAACUGAAUUUUUCUCCCAUCAUUGUUCUUGUUGUGUGGAAAUAUGGACAUGUUUCAAGCAUAAAGUACAUUGUGUUCUAUAAUCUGAAAAUUGUAAAGGUUCAAUUGCAGUUCAAAGAAUGAUAGCAUGGCCGAUCUGUUCUCCUUAUUAGAUGGUGCUUUCUUGUUUCUAAUUGUAUGAGUGAUUGUCUCUGUAGAAUGUGGCAGAGGGAUCACAUAUUCAACUAAUAUAUAUGAAUGAAAAAGGCAAAUAAUUGAAGUAUCUUGAAUGCACUCAAGAGUUUAUGUUUCAUAAAUUAGAUUAAUAUUUCUUAGUUGAGAAAGGAGUUGCUUAGAGGCUCUAGUGCUGUGAAGAAAUCAGAUAUAGAGGUGUUAUUUGCAUAAAAGAUAUAUAGAUUGUUUUGGGCAGAUAAUGUCCUUAUAAGGCACUGUAUGAACAUUUUUUGCCUUGUCGAUGGUUGCAAGUAAGGUGGUUCAUGUGGUGAAAUUUCUUGUUUAUCCUGAGGCCCAUCUUGGCAUGUGAUCUUGCAUAUGACAAAGAAUGAAAUAUUUGUUGGAUUCAUGCUUGUAGCUGAGCCUGUUGCAAAGGAACUGGAUACCUGACACUUUGAGAUUAUCAGUCAUACCCAGCAUAUACUUAAACAGAAAGAAGUUAAGGUGUUUGCCCCGGUCACUUUGCAACAUUAAAUGUUCAUAAAGAAUUACCUGUGUCAAUAGAACUACGGUAUGCGAUAUAUGCUAUUUUGUGAUUUCUUGUUAAUGCAAUGACCAUGAGGAACUUUAACGCAUAUGAAGAUGUUAGGAAUGGUGCAUCCAGAGUUUGGGUCCUGUGCCUAUUGUGUACUGUGUGAUGAUUUGUAAACAGCUCUCUUAAUCUUGAAAAUGGAGGCCCUGUCAAAACUUCUAUACUGCCACAUUCUGUUGCGAAAUUUUGGCAGUUUGUCUCCUUGCUAUGGAUAAUCCUAGAAAUGGGUAAUGCUGAUAAUAAUGAAUCAGGUAGUUCUAUGGCUAUGAACAUGAUUUUGGGUCUCUUGGAGUCUUAAGGUCGGACAUUGGUUGGGUGAAGGAAAACCAAGCCAUCGAUAAAGGGGUGAAUCUAAAAUAGAAGGCCCUAAGGGGUUCAGUGAUUUUAUAGUGCUAGAUAUAAGGAAGACAGUUUGAUGAAGAAGGGAUGUAAAGUACAUGGAGCUCAGCCAUCAAGCACUAUGUGGGAAACGAUGAUCAAGAAGGCUACAAAUGGGCAAACCAAAGUCAUGAUGUUCAAAUUUUAGAUGGACUCAUCAAAUGUUCAUUCAAUAAUCUUGAAAAUCUGAAAUAGGCGAGGGAUGCUCAAAAACCAUAAAAAAAUUCUGACAUAAUUAAAAAACUAUCAAGAGUUUGUGUGAAAGAUUUAAGAACAAGAAUAGGUGAAAUGGAAUCUUUGACAAAAAAAUGCAACAACCUAGCAAUAUAGCCAGGAAUGUGUACCUUAGGAUGCAUAAUUAACUAAAACAUGAAAUAUUUAGAAAUGUAUGCUUGACUGCAUAUAAAUUGUGUACCUUUCUUUUCUUCUAGUUGUAUAUAUCUUCAAAUAAGUUGCAAGGAGUAAGUUUGGUCUGACUCCAUGGAAAUCAUGAAUCACUAAUAUAGCUAGAACCAUUUCCCUUCACAUAUCUGAAAAUUUGGACUAUAUCAUUAUAAUUACAAAUUAUAUGUUAUAACAUGUAUAUGGUAGGCCAAAACCAAAAUUCGGAUGAUUUCAAUCAUGUAUUAAUGGAUGCAUCUUUAUGGACCAACAACCAAGAAUACAGAAUUUAUGCUCCAAGCAUCAUUUCCCUGAAAUCAGAAUAAGAUAGCUUCAGAACUAAGGGGGCCUGUGCUGGUUUCAUGUCCAAAUAAGGCAGCAAACCUAGUACAUUCUUUAGAGAACUAAAGAAAUAGAAAUUUAGAGCUUCAUCAAAUAAUGGCCUACAAUUGGAUUCUGCAGUGUUUUCGAGGUUGGUGGUAAGGGCCUUGGAAGCAUUGAAGAAUCAUGAUAUCAACAGAUGGUUUUUAAGUACUGACCCUUACUAGCUGGUAUGGCGUAUACUGGCAUUGAUAUAGGGCUCCAUAUGCCCCUGUACUAGCACCUAGUACAAGUGUUAUGCUGACUUCAAUAAUGUACCAUGUGUUGGUACGGCAAUGGCCGUAGUAAUAGGUGGUGCUUGGCGACCCAAGUGGGUCACUAUGGUGAUUUUAGAUCAUUAGUGAUCCUUAUCCUAGAGUAAUUUGAUCCUUGAUGAUCUAAGAUCAACAUGUUUGGUAUGUUAUAUUCUAGUGAUUAAAGAUCUUCGGUUAUCCAUGAGUAACCUAUUUGGUGUGCUAUGGGAAUCCGAGAUCACUUACCAUGUAAUAAUAGCAAAAAUACCCAUGAUAUAUUCCAUAUCUUUUGCAACUACUAAACUGAAUUCUUAAAUAAAUCAUAGGAAAAUACAAAUGAAUGGUUAGUGGUAGAUCGAUGCAAGUUAUAUGUAGAAUUAUUUAGACAGAUGAGUUAUAAUUUUGACAACAAAAUUAUUAAUCCUAUAAAAAUAUAUUAAUUAUUAUCAUAGUAUUAAUUAAUAAUUUCAUUUAUAAUAUAUUAUCAUUUUAUGUUGAUAUUUAUUUUGAUUAGAAAAAUAAGGCGAAUGGAAGUAAUUUAUUAAAUAUUGCAUAACAUAAAUAUAAAGUACAAUAAUGCAUUUCUACUAUAAUUAUAAAAAUGAAUAAUAAUAUAAUUAAUAAUAUAAUAUAUAUCACGAAUACUAUAUAUAUAAUAUCAAUAUAAUAAAAAAUAUUUAAUAUUGAUAUAAAAUAUUAAUGGUAUAUUGAUAUAUCAAUUUUUCUUAUUGGAUUGUGGGGUACUUUUGUCCUUGAAUUUCAGCACAAGAUCGCUACUCAUGAUGAUAUUCAAAACUGGUCCUCAAGGAUGGGUUUAAGACCAUUGAGUUGGGUAGAAAUUUAGGAGUCGGGUGAUUUGGUAUCACUGCUAUGUAGGAUUACUGUGGUGCAACCAAACACAGUGUCCGAUUACCUCCAUCCACAUCAUCCUUGAUCUUAGAGUCAUCACCCCAUAACAAAUGCCCUCAUAAGGUAUUGAUAUGGGCUUUAUGCUAGAACUUAAAAACAUUGAGCGGGAGCAAGCAUUGAUUAGGUUGCAAAUAUGCAAUAUACUAUUCUUUUGGGCAAUAGCCUGUUAUAAAUGAUUGCCAUGGGAACAUCAUCUUCUUUUGUAUAAUAUGUCAGUGCUAGCAUCAUAAAAUUACAAUAUGUAAGAUAUCAAUAUAAAUAUAUACAUUAGUAUCACUAAUAACGCAUUGUUGUGCUAUAGUAAUAUGCUAUUUUUGUGGGCAGUAAUGAGGCUGAGGGUGAGCCUUGGCGCCACAAUAUGAUUUCUCCAUAGUGACCUGGAGGUCACGGGUUCAAAACCACCUCGUUGUAUGCAGGGGUAAGGCUACAUUACAUCUGAUCUUUCCUAGACUCCGCAAUGGCGAGAGCCUAGUACACUGCCUCCCCUUAUGGGCAAUAGCCUGAUAUAAACAAUUGCCGUAGGAAUAUUUUCCUCUCUCAUAUAAUAUGUGAAUGCUGGCAUUGUCAAAUUAUUACAUGUAUGAAAAUAAUGCAAAAAAGCAUGCAAAAAAGCAUACAUCAAUAUCUCUAUCAAUGCAUUAUUCUGCUAUAUUAAUAUUUUGUAACUAUCAAGCUCUCCAACUUAAUUUGAUAAAGAUGUAUCUUCAACAAUGCAUUAUUCUGCUAUACUGAUAUUCUGUAACUAUCAAGAUCCCAAACUUAGUUUAAUAAAGUUUCCUGCAAAAGAUUAUAAAAGGCUGUUUUACCCGAUUUUCUCCAUUAGGUCUUCUUGAUAACAUUUUAUGUUUAAAGAAUACUCUUAUAUAACAGCACGUCAGUAAUCCAUCUGGUAAAACUAAGGAUUAACAUUGCUAACAUGCAAGUGCUAUUGCUCCAGUAUGAGCACACCAUGUUCAACUGCAACUUUCAAGAUGCAGAUUCCGAAGCACUAAAAGACUGCAUGUGAUUCAUAUGAGAUGUGGUGGCGAGGUUAUCUUAUGGUGGAAGGAAUUGGGAACUUUUGUUUUGUUGGAUAUUACUGGGCUUAAUUGGCAAUAGCAAAAAACUGAAUUUCGUACUUUUAUAGCCGCUUCAGGUGUUGGGAUUUUUUUUAAUCUAGUUGUUUUAGAAAACUCAGGAGGAUUUUAUAAUGUUAAUUUUUUUUACUUAUUAUUAUCACAGUUGCUAUAUCUAGAUUUUUGUCAUCUAAUUGAGAAGUCACGCGAUGUUCAAAAUCACGUCACCCUCAAGUGAAAAACAUAAAAAUUCACUGUCAGAUAUUUUUUUUUAUAUAAAAUUAAUAGGCUUGUAACUUCUGCAGAGUGCAAAUUGGUGCUUUUGGUCCUAAAUGUGUUUUCAAAGUUUUUUUCUUUUGCCAUUUUCAUUUACUCUUAGACAGUGCCUUGUCGUUAUAUUAGGAUAAUGAAUGUUUUUCUAAGUCAUAGCAUACAUAGCAUAAGGUUUGUAUGCAUUGGCAAAUAUCUAGUUCACAUAUAUAUGUCGGAUUGUUUUAUUAUGCAAUGGGAUUGAACAGUCUUAGUUGUGCUACUCUUUUUUGUAAUUUAAGGAACAGUUUUAAUAUUAGUUAAUAUAGUGCAUUAUUUCCCAUGCAGCAAUUAAAGCCCUUCCAUUUUUUAAGAAUGGUAUUACAUAUUUCUAUAUACAUGAUAUUUCCUUAUCUAGCAACCUAUUGGAUCUUCAACAAGCGAAAUCUGAGUUUUCAUGACUUUAGUUUUUUUUUUCUUUUUUUUCUUUUUCCAAAAUUGUAAUUACUAUAUAUUUAGACUGAUGUAGUACUGAUUUCUGGGCACCAAUUCAAUUAACCCAUGCCUGUCCAUUUACUGCUAACUAAUUUCUUAACAAAAGCUAACUGGUACAUCUUAUGCCUGGAAUUAAAUUUGUGGAGCAGAAAUUUUGCGUGUAACCACACUGUUGGGGAAUGCCUCUCUUUUAGAUCAAACUGGGCUUGAACAUGGUAGCCCGCUGACCACUGGAGGACUGUUUUCAAAUGGAGGAGCAGCCGAUAUGAAUGGGUGGGCAUCACCAUUUCAACCAGAAGUACGGAUACUAACCGUUAACAUAACUCUUUUUUGCAUCUAAUUUACUGCUCACCAGAAGCGUUUCUGACAUAAUUUCUUGCAAUUCAUGCUAACCUGAAUUAACUGUCUUGAUUGAGCGGUUGCAUUCUUGACUUAGCAUUUACAGUUUGCUGACUUAUAUUAACUAUCUUUUUUUGAGCAUCUGUUCCUUGAUAUAGGUUCUUACAUUCAUUUGAAGUUGAAAGUAAUUCUUGUAAUGUAUCAAAAAAAAAAAAAAAAGAAGUAAUAGUUCUAAGCAUGAUCCUAUGGAAUAGAAUAUUAUUUCUCUUACUGGUUUUGUAACACAAACAUUUAGAACCAGUGAGUCUGUUGACCUGGUGUUAAGCAUAUUUAUCCUUCACCCCUUUUCUUCUGUUACAUUCUCUAACUUAUAUUAUGGCUUCGUGCUGCCUGUCAGAACUGUAUCCCUAAAUGUUAGGUUUGGUUGGCCAUGAAGUGCAGCAGCGUAUGUAGUUACUUUCUGAACUACAGUAGUAGGAUCAAGUUUUGUUAUCUUAGUAUUGGGAUAGCCAAUUGCUUCUCUUUAUAGCCUGAAUUUUUGAUAACUAUGUAGUGGCUAUUUUUGGUCUUCAUUCCUAGUCCUUUUGCAAGGUGAACCUGAGCCUUACCAUAUGUUUUCUAGAAGUAGAAUGCAUCUGAGCCUUUCUUUCUUAUGCACCAGAAUUAAUAUGCUUUGCGAAUAUGAGCUUUUCUGUCAUCUUCUUCUCACGUGAUUUUGAGCUGCAACUGUCUUUUUAACCUUAAUAAUGUAUAGUUAUGUUUGUACAUGCAUAUCCGAUACUUGCACUCAAUCUUGUAGAAGCCAAACAUAUGAAAGACACAUCCUGAUAUGGAUAUAUACUUCUUUUAAAUCUAUUUGUUGUUCUUCAUAUUAUUUUAUGUAACAACACCUUUACUAAAUUGCAGAGGUUAGGAUUGUUACAGCCUUCAUCAGCACAUGGCUGGCUUGGACCACAAGGCAGCUCCUCAGGUCUCAUUGUCAAAAAAACUAUCAGGGUUGAUAUUCCUGUGGACAAAUACCCAAAUGUAUGCAAGAAUCUUUCCUUUCCUCUUUAAUCUUUAUUACGUUUGACCGCAUUCAUGAAUUCUUUUAAGUUGUUCCACAGUACAACUUUGUUGGGCGGCUCCUUGGUCCUCGAGGAAACUCUCUCAAGCGAGUGGAAGCAAGUACUGAAUGUCGCGUCCUAAUUAGAGGUCGGGGCAGCAUCAAAGAUCCUGCACGGGUAAGAAGUAUGCUUUGAUUAUUAUUGAUUCUACAUCCAGGCAUCCCUAUUAAUCUCAGUGUGCAUUUACCUAUGUAAAACAACCAUAAUUAGAUACCAAAGGAAGUUGAUGCAAACAAACAAGCAGAAAUUAAAAUGUCCAUUUAUGAUUUUGAAGAUCUAAGCAAAUCAGCUAAAUUCAACUAGAAAUUAUAUUACAUUCCUGAAAAGUUAAUGUGAAUGCCAUAUAGCAAAUCUAUAAAUCCUGAAAAGUUAAUGUGAAUGCCAUAUGGCAAAUCUAUAAAUUGGACUUGGAAAUAUGAUGCCAUGUCUAGCAAUUUUGUUAUUUUCUAAAUUAGUGUUCAUAAUUGGGGAAGUGUUUGAGUUCUAAGAUGCUUCUGAAGUGAAAUUUUUGGCUGCCAUAUCUAAUAGAGAAACAGAUGGUUGGUUAGUGCAUUUGCAACAAUCUGAUUUGAUCAUGCAGCAUCAAUUCACAUUUAUAAUAGGAGACACUAAACAUUUAUUAUUGGAUCACUCCUAGCUAUAGGUUGUUUCUCUUUUUCUUACACACUCGUUGACAUUGUUCCUUGUGAGCAUAUAGUUGUGAACAAAAAGAUGCUAAAAAAAUUUAGAGCUUGUUGAUCUACAUGUGAGGUUAGGAUAACAAUACCGUUCCCAACAUCUAUAUAUGCUGAUGCUAUAUAAUAAAAGAAAAACAUUUUUUUUUAAAGUUUUGUUCUUGUAUUUUUGUCCAUACCUACAAUUUGAGGUUAUUAGAUGGUGAGAGUUUUUUUAGUUAGCCUACCGGUAGAGCUAUAAAAAGCUCGGCAUUUUGAUGAUGGUUUAUUAUGAAAAACAGAUCAUUCAUUUGUUUGAUAGUUUGUGACAUGUGGACUUCAGGAGAUCCUAGUUUAAUGAUAUUGCUAUGAUACAAAAAAUUCAACCCACCCCUUUUUCUGAUCUGCUCAUAUAUGACUUCAGUAUAAUGAAGAGUUUUGUAUCUUUACUAGUAACAAUGAUAAGAGUUUUUACAAGUGAAUGGAGCAAACAGCAAUAUGUAAUUGAAUUGGAUACCCUUGAAAUGACUUUGAUUUAUUCACCCUCAAAACACUCUUUGCUUGACAAGUUUUUCAUGUGUCUUAUCCUUGAUAUAAGAGGUCUUGUUCUCCCCUACUCUUUUUGGCACAACCCGUUCUUAUAUAUUGCUAAAUGCAGGAGGAAAUGAUGAGAGGAAAAUCAGGGUAUGAACAUCUGAAUGAACCCCUUCACAUACUAAUAGAAGCAGAGUUGCCGGUUGAAAUUGUUGAUGCUCGCUUGAUGCAAGCUCGUGGCAUUCUUGAAGACCUCCUGAAGCCUGUGGUAUUGCUUCCUUUCCCUGCAUCCAAAAACUAAUUCUCAUUUUCCUCAUCCAACUAGUUUUUAGCUACCAGAAAUUCCAUCAUGAUCGUGUUUGUCACACAACCCUCUGUUUUUUCCACAGGAUGAAUCCCUAGAUUUCUUCAAGAAGCAGCAGCUUAGAGAGCUUGCCAUGCUCAACGGGACACUCCGUGAAGAAGGUGCACACACAUCACCUUCUGUCUCCCCCUUCCACAACAGCCUCAGCAUGAAGAGGGCCAAGACGAGGGGUUAGAUCGAGUGAGAUUGCCUUCUUGCUGGCCCUCUCUCUGUGGGCCCUCUGUUACUGCCCUGUUACAGCCAUAUCUCCAUUAAAGGUUGCCUUGUCAAAUCCAUGCUCUCGUAUACUAAUCUGUGCAAUGGGGUGAAGGCACGCUCUUACUCGGGUUCUGUCUUAGAGUGCAUGUCCCUGCUAAUGGGGGAGGUUUGAUGGAUAUGGGAUACAGACAGCAAACCAUUUUGGGUUGUGGAAUCUGCCUAUGUUUGUACCGUACUAAGUGAAGAACAGAAAUCUGUCCUUGUGAUCGUAAUAGAGUUAUAUAUGCUUGUGUUUUUUUUACAGUUUUGAUACCAUCAUAGGUGUUGUAUAGAAAUAAUCAGUGAGUUUGUGUAUAAAGCUGUGAGACAGUAGUCCGUAGUCACCCAAAGCAGGUCUGGGUAAUUGAGCGUCCUCAAUAUUUAGUGGUCCAAAUCUCAUUUAUGUUAGCGGUUUCCUGGUGCAUGUAUCUCUGAAUGCAGCUUAUUAAAGGUCAUAGAUUGUCUGUUUAGGAAAACAAUCUCAUUGGAUGUUGCUUUUGCCGUUAAUGUCUGAUAGAAACAUGAGUGGAACAGCGUUGAAGUCACCUGAUAUGUUGAUUGAUGCGCAUUUCUUUACGCAGAAUUCUGCAUAGCCGUUCCAUGUGUUUGGAGGGUAUGUACCUUAAUCUGCGGUGGCAUUGUUUAUGGUAGGACUGAAGCACAUAAAAGCACACAAUGGGACUGAAACUAAGAAAUCAAAUGACCAAGGCAAUGGAGCUCAGGAAUAUUCAAACUGCAUCCAGAACUGCGAAUUUGCUAUAUUCUUUGACUCCUUAGCGAGGGACCCCCUUAUGGUGAUCAUCAUUUGACAAACUUGAUCAUGUGAGGAGCAGUGCAGGAGUGUUCCCGGCCAUUGCCGGAAAUUUUACUCCAAGUGAUUAAGCCGGCCUCCACAAACAGUAUUAUGAUCUGUCAAAUGUGAUUAGGAGAAAGUCAUCGGUCGUUGCAUGAGUCAUUAAUAGGAUGAGGUUACUCUAAAUUGGUCGGGGGUGGGGGAAGGGAGGGAGGGUAAAUGCCUUACGAUGGCUUUGUUGCUCACUUGGGUGGUGUAUUCAGGGCCUGAGUUCAGAAAUUUGUGAUGUGUCACUCAAGAAUUUCUGGUUUCGUCCCUCUACGAGGAAAGAAUCCAGAUUGGAUUUGGAGGGAUUAGAACAUUCUCAUUCUUUUCUAGAUUCAAAAUAUGAAUGAAACUUUUUUCAAUCAAACAACUCCAAUAGAAAUCAUUUAUCCCUACCAUUUUAAAGUCCAAGUCCCUCCAACCAAAUAUGCUGUCACCCUAUUUAUAGUAUCUGCAAAAAGUAGGAUAUGAAUCUUGAUGCAUUUGUUACAAAAACACAGCUUUAAUAGCAUCACUGCUUACCUUGACAAUGUUUUUCAUAUAAAUUGAUACAGGGAACAACAGAACAUGAUAUGCCCCAAUAUGUUUCAAUUUUUUUAUCCAAGUCUAGUACUAAAUGAGUCUUAAACGGCAGCAAGCUCGCUGUUUUAACAAGCCUUCAGAUAACAUUUAGGUUGCGUUUGAUGCAUAGCAAUUUUGAAGAGCAAUGUGGAUUCACUUUAAGAUAGACUAUCACUGUUAAAUUAUUAAUAAUAUUGAUUAUGAUGUUUGAUACAUAUGAAUAAUAUUACAGUAAAAUUAUUAAAAAUUUUGAUUGACAUGUUUGAUAUUACAAUCAGAUUAUGUAAAAUCAAAUUCUCAAAAUACUUCGAAUAAUAUUAUUUUAAUAUAUUUUUUUUUGAUGAAAAAUAAUGAAAGUGAUGCAGACGUGAUAGUGAUGCGAAAAAAUGACGGACCGAGAGAUGUGAGAACUGCGAGCACUUGGGGAGGACAUGUGUGGAGAUGUAGAGAUAGUGGGGAUAGAUGCAGAGGAACCACUAGAGGAUGGAGGAGCCGUGAACAAGCAAAAAAAGAUGGAAGAGCUGUAGGCUGAAGGCGUAUGCGAAGGAGGGUCGGAGAGAGGAGAGAGGGAUGGACAAUAUAUUUUGUAUGAUUUUUUAAAAAUAAUUUUAUUUAAAAUUUUUAUUACAAUAUUAUCAAGAAAGUGAUAAUCUGGAUAGCUACUCCUUCCCACGACAAUUUGAAUUACCACUCAAAAAGUAAACCAAAUGCAGUAAUUCAGAUUACCAUAUUAAAUCGCCAGCAAUUUGGAUAGAUUGCUGGCUAUCAAAUGCAACCUUAGUAAUAAGCUAUGCACAUCACAUCAUCAAGUAAUUAAUGACUUAGGAUUGGACCAUUAACUACCAUGAUUACAAGAUUAGAACUGCAAACACAGGAAUUCAUUUGCUAUCUUUUCCUGUGAUGGAUGACACAUAAAAAUUCUAAAGAUAUCGAGACCAGCAUGCAUAAAUACCCAAACGUCUAGCGAUAACAACUAAAAUAUAAGUUUAUGAGAAUACUAGAUACGGUUUCAUGUGUGAUUGUGGAAUUCUCCUGAUCCGUUUGUAGUAGUUGAAACAUUCUUCCUUCGGAUGUAAUACAGCACGACUGCAGUCCCUCAAAGACAAACAUAACACCAAUCACUAUAACAUAGACAUAGAUGACGCUUGCUGGGAGAUUAUCAAGGGGCUUUAAUAAGUGUUUUAGGUUUUCUAUCAGAAAUAGCCAUUGGUUCAAAAGCAACUUUCAUUACCUCUAUGAUCAUGAUAUACGAGUGUCUGUAGAAUCAACCUAACUUAUGGAUAUAAAGAUUAUUUUGAUACACCCUUGCUCUCCAUAUCAUAGGUUAAUGGGUUAACCGACCAUCCAAAGGGAAAGUUCUCAUCAUCAUCUCUUUUUUUUUUUGACCUUCUUUAAGCUAUAACCAUCAUACGAGUGCAGCCCAAAUCCAAUAAAAGUUAAAACUAUAUCAAUGGUAGCAAUUCUAGAAUUCCAGCAGGCAGCAGAUAUUGAGAAAUUCUUUCUAAAAAAUAUCAGCAGCCUAUUGUUGAUAUCUGGUAUCCAGAUGCUGAUCUCCAGUAGACAGUUCCAGCAUUAAAAAAACCAAAUCAUAGAUGAUUUCCAGCAUCCAGAUAAUUAACACUAAUCAAUUCAUUUCCUGCCUUUGUGUUGCAAUGAUCAUGCUCAUGCAUUUCCCGUGCUAUCAGAGCAACAAUGAUGCCAAGGCCAGCAAGUUAAAUAUUGCACAGCAACGUAUAGUAUUUUGUAUAACCACAAUCAAUCAAAUCGUAACUUAAAUUUACCAAAAUUACCUGUGACAGGUUACAUAAAUACUUUCACGAUUAAGCACGCAAUUCUGCUAACCACAAAUCAUGGAAAUGAAUCUCAGAUAUCCCAUUUCAUGUAGCAUCGAUCAUUCUGUAGAUCCAAAUGAACUUAUCAUCCUUUUAAAAAUAUUAUACAUAAUGAGACAUUAAUAUUUGCAUGAUCAAGCAUCCUGUCUCACCCUUCAAAAUAAAACAGCUGUCACUUGCAGCAGUGUCACAGCAGGCAUCUUAAUGAUUUCAUGACACUAUGAUGACUCUUUAGAUCUAGUCUUUAGAUCAUCUAUUGUGACAGUUCACAAAUCACCUCAACCCGAAACCCCAUUCACUUAAUGUAAUAGCAUAAACAUAAUGAACCGACUGUCCUCUUUGGAAAGGAGAAUGUUGGUUUCUUCCUCCACAAUUUAUCUAUUAAAAUGUUGUCACCAUGUUUAUAAUUCAAGUUUUUGACCUCUGUAAACUUUAGUUGGAAUCUACCUGAAAAAAAAUAUGCACCUAGAUGUGGGAAACGCUAUUCCUGAAAACAGUAUUACUGUGUCAAGGCAGCUAGACGAGUCUUACAGCCAGUAUGUGCAUGCGAGCAAAAAAAAAUAACUCCAAAAGGCAACUAGUUGCAAAAAUACACAUCAAGAUUCAUAUUCAGCAUUAGAUAUCGUGCUUCAAAAUACCUUUCACAAUCAAAAGGUAGGCGACCAAUUCAAUCCUACAUACUAUUGAUAAAUAUAAUAAAACACCCACCAAUUUCCAUGUGUAUGCACAACACAUUGACAAGCUUUAGACACUGUACUAACUAAGCAAUGUACUGAUUUUAAAGUUGAACGUCUACUAGCCCCAGAAGAACAGUUCUUUAAAUUAUGAAGAAGUCAACAUAAUCUAAGGGGCAACCUAUAUGGUAAAACAAGUUCGUGUGCAUUUGCAAACCCAAAGACAUCCAUCAGGCAAGAAAUAAACUGUUUGAGACCAACCAAGCAAUUGAUACUUUCCUAGCUUCCCUAUUCCUCGAUGUAAAAUAAUGCAACUAAGUGCCAAAAUGGCACCAACAAUUACACUAGAGAUCACUAGGAGAAAACUGAAAUCAACAGGCCUCUUUCCCCACCUCAAUCAAUGAUUCCAAUAAACUUCGCUAAUUGAAACUAAAAAUCAACAAGCAAGUAGGUAAUAUUCCAUGAGUAAAAGGCACAGUCUAAAUUACCAUCAGUUGUAAGAUAAAGCACACAAUAUGGAAAACUUGCAUUUAUAACAUGCCUCAUACUAUGUUACGCUAUUAUUAAAGUGCCCCUUUGCGAUCCUAAAUCAUUAGAGUUUAGAGUGAGAGACAAUAUAAAAAAAAAUAUAUCAACCAAUCAGAGAAUUCAAUGUUUGUAAUAGGAUCUUUAGUGCCUUCCACAACAUCCAAAUGGAGCAAGAAUUAGACUAUGCUCUUCACUAGCAUGCUUAUGGGCGAUCAAAGCAACUAAAAGCCUCAUGAAGCAUCAACUUGUAAGUCUCCCAUAGUUUUUUCGGUAGAAGAGUCUCCUACGUUGUUUGGGCUGUUUUUUAUUUGUUUCUCAUAUAUAUGUACAUGUUUACAUAUUUUACUAGCUACUUGCACAUUAUCUGCAUAACACCAUGGUGUUUGGGCCUUUUUCUCCUUAAUUUUUAGCAAGUCCUUUCUCCACUAAUAAGAUAAAGAUGUCAUUAAUCAAAUGCAUCUCUUUUAGUAACAUUGUCAUUGUAACUUAAACUCUUAACAUAUCAGUAAAACUAAGCUUGACAACACAAUUUAUCAAAUCACCAACUAGCAUACUGAUGGAACAAACAUAACAGACCACUAACCAAAACCUGCAAACUCUGGAUGCAUCAAGUUGAUGAUUAAAGUAGCAAACAUGAUAAAAGGUAGAGGUGAUCAACAAAAACUAAGGAACAGGACUGUCCUUUUCUUUCUACUUUGUCCACAUACCACGACAUCAAAAUUCCAGCGGCAAAUGCAUUAUUCAUCAUGGUGGUCAACAAAUUUCCAACUCUAGAUCAUGCAGUAGCUCAAUCAACAAUCACCAUAACCAGAGUGCUCCUGUCUUCCAAUAAUGUGCAGAGGUAUAUGCAUAUCAAUUUGUUACUCAGUCGAACCCAUAUAUAACUAAGCAUCAGCAAGCCUUACAAUGAUAGAUGGCAUAAGAUACAUCGGUCACCAAACAUACAUUAAGAUGGGAUAAAUCUGAAUAAAAGAAACCCAUCCACAGAAAGCCCACAAUAGACAAGACAAGCAAAAUAUAUUGAUAAUUAGUUUUUCUUCGCUUCUCUUCCAGCACCAUCACAACAGACGAGUCCCCAACUCUCCAUAUUCAAAACUAAAUCAUCAGUCAAAGCAAACAACACAAUAUAGGAUAGGAGGAAUAGCUUGGGAGGACUCACAUUGCCACCAUGCAGCUACUGGGGGACAUAGUAGUAGGAGAGAGGAUCAGUUGGCGGGGCCCCAAGGGGGCGGGGCACGUCCUCCUUCCCCUCGUCUCUCGGCACGAUGUCGACAAGGAAGUCGAAGACGUCGGUGCGGGUGAUGGCCGCGGCGAUGUCAUUCUUCUGGAGGGUGCGGCGCUUGUUCUCCUCGGCAUGGGCCCAGGAGCGGUGGGUGAGCUCCAGGAUGAACAUCUCGCAGGCACGGGCGAAGACGACAGGAGCCUCGGCGGCGAUCAUGCGCACAUCCUCGUCAGCCUUCAUGAUCUUCUUGAUGCGGGCUAGGGGCAGGCUGUGGUUCUUGAAGUCGCUGGUCUGCUCGAUCUCACGGUACUGGUCGGCCCAGAAUAUCUGCAGCUGCUGCUGCUGCUGCUGUUGCUGCUGGUGGUAGAGGUGCUGAUAGGCUUGGUAGGGGCCGCUGGAGGCGGCGGCGGCGGCGGCGGGGUAGGGAACGGGAGCAGCGACGCCGAUCACUGGAGGGGUGGGAUGGCCCUGCUGAUCCAUUCCGUUCGGUCUCGAUCUAGAAUCAAACAGAACACAGGCGUCAAAAUCCGAUCUUAUUGGGGAAAGAUAAAGGAUUUUAGGGCAUCAAACACAACCAAGGCGUCAAAAGUCGAUCUUUUUGAGGAAGUACGAAGGAAUUUGGGGUAUAUAACACAGGCGUGAAAAUCCGAUCUUUUCGAGGAAAAACGAACGAAAUUAGGGCAUCGAUCGCAACCCAAAGGCCAAGAUCCGAUCUUUUGGAGGAAAAAUGAAGGAUUUUGGGCUAUCAAACACUACCAAGGCGUCAAAACUCGAUCGUUUGGAGGAAAAGGAUUCUGCUAGUACCAAACGCGACCGCAGGCGUCAAACUCCGAUCCUUUCGACGAAAAACAAAGGAACUUAGGGUAUCGAACACAACUAACGUCAAAAUCCGAUCUUUUUGUGGAAAAACAAAGAGACUAGGGGUAUCAAACACACCCCAGACACCAAAAUCCGAUCUUUUGAGGAAAAACUAGGAUUUUGGAGUGUCUAACGAGACCCAGGCGCCAAAAUCCGAUCUUGUUGAUUUAAGAACGAAAGGAUUUGAUUGAAGAGGGUAGAAGAGGAAGAAGGGAUCCGGGCUGAACUGACGCGGGGGAAGGUGAGAUUUUUAGUGGAAUAAGGGGGAGUACAAGCGGAAAGAUGGAAUCUUUGGGGAAGCGAGUGGAAUUUUAGGGUUAGGUAUUGGAUUGAAGAGGCAUGGGAUUGUCAUAGGGAAGAAAACAAGACGCUAGAAUUCGAGAACGAGGUUUAGACAGGAAACAUAGCUUGGUGCCUAGGGAAAAAAAAUGAGCAAAAAGGGGCAGAGGGAGGAGGAAGGUGAGAGGCUGCAGUGUUUGGAUUUCAUACCUUGCCGACGGCGUUUAGAACAAUCGAGAGGAGAGCGAACAGGGGACGAUGGAAUUAAGGAACAGGCCAGGAAUCGUACUGGGGGUGGAGUUUUUUUGAUUAAAGUGUUGGGGGUGGAAUUAGGCUUGGAAUGCCGUCUCUCUUAUGGAAAAUAUUUAUGGAAGUGCAGCGCAAUCCCUACACAGAACUCACACAAAACAUUAGUACGCGGCUCGGGCUGAUAGCCAGUGACCCGCACCUUGAAGCGGGAUUUAAUUAAACAACCCCCAAAAAAAAAACAAAUGGGAUUUAAUUAAAUAAAAAAACAAAAAAUAUGGUAAUAAUGUGAAGUUACGUAUACAUUGAAGUUAUUUUUAUCCUUAUAAAGAUAUAUUUAUAGUUAUUUUUUUAAUAAAAAACCUUUUUUUAUCAUGGUUGAGAAGAAUGUUGGAAGGGAAAAAAAAAAAAAAUAUUAUUAUUAUUAUUUGUUUCUAUUUAGAGGUAAUUGUUCAGGACCAUAAGGUUGGUCUACUCACUGUUUUGACCACAACAUCAAAAUGCACUUCACCAUCAAGUACAACUCCUACCUCUAGAACAAUAAAUCACACACUCUCUCCCUUUUGAUUCAAAUAGGCAUUCUUAGUUAAAUCCAAGAGGAGAAAAGAGUGAUAAAAAGAGAGAAAGAAAGAGAAGGGAAAAGGAGAGAGAUCAAGCUCUCACUUAUCAGAUAUAGUGAUGAGGGUGAGGGCUUGGUUGCAAAAAAGAGGGAGAAAAAAGAUUUUUAGUUGCUAGAUCUAAUAAUUAUUAGCAACUGACUACCACUCAAAGAAGAAAAAGAGGUGGAGUGAGAGAUCAAGGGGUAACAGAUGAUAGCUUUUUGAUGGUAUGGAAGACACACACAGGAGAGGAGAGUUGAUUCGAGUUCAUUAUAUAUAAAAUAAAACAAAGAACUAAGGAAUUUGUAGAAUCACCAUAGCAACAGAAUGGAACUUAGUAAAGAUAAUCAUUAAAAUAUUUGUGCAUAUAAAAUAACAUAUAUAGAAAAAAAAAUGCCAAUAGCAUCGCAGCACAUAAUAACACUUUAGUAUCGAUAGUUCCAGCAUCAAGCAUAUCUAGAAUAUAUGCUGGACAUCCACCCUCCUUGCUUUAGCACUUAACUGAAGCAUAGAAAAUUGCAGUUCAACUUAAAAUGUAUACAAGACAUUAUGUGUUGUAAGAAUUAAUAUAGAAUGGACCAUACGAAGUGCAUGACUCCACUUGAAGUGUUCACUCUCCUUGACGGAAUUCGCUUCAUGAUAAACUAUGGUAGUUGUGUCUAAUAUACUUCUUUUUAAUGCAAUUGGAUCCUCUCUUAGAUCUGUUAAAAUCUUGGGCUGCCCGUCUGGCCCGCCCAAGCCCAGGCCUGGCCCAAUAAAAUCGCUAGCGGAAGCUCAAUUACUCUUAGUAUCAAAGAAGAACAAAAUCCAAGUUCCCAUAACCUGUCCUUUCCCUCUCGCCAUCGCCAUGACCUCAUCUUCCCUCUCGCCACCACCACGAGUUCCUCUCCGUCUAUUGCUGCUGCCUUCCCUCUCUUGUCGUAGCCAUGGCCUCCACAGCACACCACACCAUCUGAAAAGCCUGAGGCCCGAUCCGAGAAAUAAAGCUCGAGUCGGGCCGGAUCAGACCUGACUAACUUUGGUUCCACAUUGACUUGAGGCCGGCCCAAGCCCAACCCAGUCUGUCUGUCAAUCCUCUGAUAAAUCUUCCAAACUACGGCGUUGAAUAUGGUAUGGUUAAAAGAUACUCAAAAUGAAUACCAAGUGGCCAUCUCCCCUUCAAGGGAAUCGCGCCUCACUUCAAAAGCCACGUGUAUUCUUUGUGGACACAUGUGCGCUAUGUUACGUUAGUUAUGUUAUGUUAUGAACUGGAUUUUUGUAUGUCUAUAUUUCCAGAAAAAGUAUAUCAAUGGCCGACGCUAAUAUUGUAUUAUUGUGGUGAUUUUUUUUUUUUUGAGUGCUUUUUAUGGGAAGCUUGUUCUCCUAGAGACGGAAAGCGGGUCUUCAAUUGUUUAUAGUUUUAAAAUUUGCUAAAAUUUGGAUUGCUACAAAUCAUUUUGUGGAAAAGUCAAAGCUUAAUGAUAGGACGAGAAGGGAAGGGAGGGUGCCAGCACGGCAGUAGACUUUGCGUGUGAGGCAGCCCAUAUUUCCGCUCUCUUUACUUAUGCUUAAAACAAAUGGCCUCUUAAGUUUCAGGCAGCCCAUAUUUCCGCUCUCUUUACUCAAUUAUCAUGGUCUUAGAGCAGGGGUGCAUGUGAGGCAGUUUGGGUCUGGUCUAACCUAAUUUAAGUCCAACCCAAAUGGACUUUGGUACCCAUCAUAACCAUGAUUAUAUAUAGCAUGGUCAAGCUUGAAUUCACUUUGUUUUUUUUUUUUAGAUGUUGUUUUAUGCUAGAAAACAACAUAAGGUUAACCCUUCAUUUUGUACAUCGGAGCUUGGGAUGGCAUUGGCUUGUUGAUAUCGGCUCUAUAAUUACUUAAAUCGAUAAACCAUUCACUUGCAUAUCAUGGUAGCUAGGUUGAGUUCAUUUUAGUUCAUAUUGUGUCAGCCGUGCCCACACUCUUGAGCAAAUCUUGGUUAAGUUUAAUAGAGUCCGAUCAAAUCUGAUCAGGUUAAAUUCAAUUCCACCGGUCUCGAACUCAACUUGGCUUUGAUUGACCCUAUCUUACUCAUGGGCAGGUAUUGAUUACAUGCUGAAUUUAGGUCUAUAUGAUGUCACCUUAGUUUUAGAGCGUAUUUCUCAGUUUUCUUUUGAAAUCAUAUUAGAACGUGAGUAGGAAUGAAAGCUAAACUAUAAGGCCAAAUCAAUUGAUCAUAAUUGCCCAAGUUUUCUAGAUUUUGAGAAAGAGAUCAAUGGCACUAACUUAAUCAAUUGAUGAAGAACACAUGUUAGCUAUAUAGAGAAGAAGAAAUGAUGUCAGUUUUAGCAUCUGGUAUCUUUUUUUUUUGUUCAUUCUUUGUUUGUCACUUUUUGGAUGCUGGGGGUACAAUAAUAGACCCUAGGAAGGAUCCUAUGUGUAUCUUUUGCAUGGAAGAAUAAUUUUUUUUUUUUGGUAAUAUCAACAGUUGAAUUGUAUGAUAUUUUUUUCGAAAUCUUUACAUACAGAUGGAAGAAAAAGAUUGAAGUCCUUCACAUCUAUAAGAUGCGAUUCAAUGCUCGAUGUUGUAAAAAAAAAAAAAAAUUAAUUAUUCUUUCACUCAAAAGAUACAACCCAAAAUCCUAAAAACAGUCAUUUGCUGUCACAUACGAAAUUAAAUGGCCGUAGAUGGUCCACCCUGUGGCCCAUCCUGUGAUGGCACCAAAAUAACAUGACACUCCAGCAAAUCGUGCUACGCUUUUAUGAGGAAAGGGGAGGCAUAAAUGCCAUGACCAAAGUAUGUUGAAGUCGCUAAGCUUGUGCUUUUCACUACCUAGAAACAACCAAGGUACCCUCUGCAGGACAGCAUUAAGUGGGAAACCGAGGGUGGGUCUUCAGAAGCCUAAGCCAGACCAUAGUUUUGUUACCUAGCUAAUUCAAUCAUGAACGCAAAAUGAUAAGGCCAACUAAAUUGCUUCCCAACCCUACCAACCAUAGGGCCAGAAAAGAAAAAAAUGGCCUGCAAUUUUUUAGGGACCCAUUGUUUGGUAGGUCAGCUGCAGUUGUUUUGGUAGGUUGGGGGUCUCAAUCUUAUCACACUCUAAUUUGUUGCGUGGUUUUAAUCCUAAGAUCUUGAGAUAUUGCGAAUAACCUUGCAAACCAAGUGAAUUAUCUAAAAGUUCUUUUUUUCAAAAAAUUUAAAAAAAAAUCCCAUUAAUAGUGCAUUUCGAAAAUGAAUUACGUACAAAUGAACUGGAUUAAAUCAACCUCACCCUAGAUCCCUCAAAUACCACCUAGGUUUAAUCCAUGUUANNNNNNNNNNNNNNNNNNNNNNNNNNNNNNNNNNNNNNNNNNNNNNNNNNNNNNNNNNNNNNNNNNNNNNNNNNNNNNNNNNNNNNNNNNNNNNNNNNNNNNNNNNNNNNNNNNNNNNNNNNNNNNNNNNNNNNNNNNNNNNNNNNNNNNUUAAGAUUUAUUCAUCCUACAGCAUCCUCCAUGAGUUCAUCACUCAUUUACAUGAUCAAUCUAAAAUUGUCUGAGAAAUCAAGCCAAGCUAGCCUGCAAGCAUAUAGUGUUGUUAUAGCUCUACAAUAUUAUCAAAUACAAGUGUAUAUGUUGCUAUUGUUAUGGAAAAGUUGACAACCUACCAGGAAAAUUUAAGAUGUCCAAGGACUUGAAAAUAUUCCAGUAUGUACUCAUGCAAAUAUCAUUCCCAACAUCAUCGUUCUCUCGUUUUCCAUAGCAUCUAAGCAAGAAUCACCCUAAAACAUCAUAGAUAUUAAUUAAUACAACUUCUGAACUUUAUUUAGAUAUACGAAACCGACAAUUACAAAUUCGACUCUACAUGCAAAUCUUAUUCUUGUUGACAAGAAUGGCAUGAGAGAUAACAAAAGGAACAAAGGAAAAUACAAGAGAACAAAAAAGGUUAUACAUAGCUCCAAAUGUCUUCUACCGCACGUUUGAAGACUAGAACUAUUUAACAAAACCUUUCAAUUAGUUGUAGUCUAUAUGUGCAAUCCCCACUAAGGAUCAUCUUCCUUCCUCUCUUCAGCCAUCAAGAUAGGUAGGAGCCAUAAACACUGGAGCUACUACUGCCUUUCCCUCCGACGAACACCGGUCCCCCAUGGGCCUUGGAUCGCCUACGGGGGCGGCUCGCAUCAUCGACAGAGGCGAAGAUGACCAUGGAAAUGAUCGACAGCCACACGAUGAUGACGCAGAAGAUCACAUCGCCGCUAUUGUGGGACUCGAAAACCAUUGGUACCAUGGCUUUGCUGUGGAUGCUCUCUUCACCUCCUCCGGUCUUUAGUUUGAUCCACUGUAGUCCAAUAUGGCAGUAUAUAUAGGCCUUUGGGAGAUGGUGCUCCCAUUGGUUCACUCCAAAUUCCUGUCCAAGCGUUCCACUUUGACGAUAUACCAUCUACUCUUUGGUUGACUGAGUCAAUUGAUAAUUUUUUUAGUUUUAAUUAUUAGAUGUUUGUUUUGACUAGGCCGGUCCUGUGAGCCGUAAAUUAUGGGGCACCAACGUGGUGCAACAUGGAUAUAAAAAUAGUGGAUGAAGUCAUAGACCCAUGGAGUUGAGGUUCUUUAUUGUGGCGACC